UGGGGUUGUGACUCAGUGGUCAAGUGCUUGCCUAUAUGUGCAAGGCCCUGGGUUCGAUCCUCAGAACCACAA
RNAcentral lists this transfer RNA (72 nucleotides) under Marmota monax (woodchuck). Its description in RNAcentral is "tRNA.Tyr". Lineage: Eukaryota; Metazoa; Chordata; Mammalia; Rodentia; Sciuridae. The record is from RNAcentral.